UAGGGAAUCUUCGGCAAUGGACGGAAGUCUGACCGAGCAACACCGCGUGAGUGAAGAAGGUUUUCGGAUCGUAAAGCUCUGUUGUUAGAGAAGAACGUUGGUAGGAGUGGAAAAUCUACCAAGUGACGGUAACUAACCAGAAAGGGACGGCUAACUACGUGCCAGCAGCCGCGGUAAUACGUAGGUCCCGAGCGUUGUCCGGAUUUAUUGGGCGUAAAGCGAGCGCAGGCGGUUCUUUAAGUCUGAAGUUAAAGGCAGUGGCUUAACCAUUGUACGCUUUGGAAACUGGAGGACUUGAGUGCAGAAGGGGAGAGUGGAAUUCCAUGUGUAGCGGUGAAAUGCGUAGAUAUAUGGAGGAACACCGGUGGCGAAAGCGGCUCUCUGGUCUGUAACUGACGCUGAGGCUCGAAAGCGUGGGGAGCAAACAGG
RNAcentral lists this ribosomal RNA (429 nucleotides) under Bacillota bacterium. RNAcentral's name for it is "Firmicutes bacterium partial 16S ribosomal RNA". It matches the Rfam family "Bacterial small subunit ribosomal RNA", at positions 355 to 776 of the family's 1533-position model. Lineage: Bacteria; Bacillati; Bacillota. The record is from RNAcentral.